CGUACACUCCUACGGGAGGCAGCAGUGGGGAAUAUUGCACAAUGGGCGCAAGCCUGAUGCAGCCAUGCCGCGUGUAUGAAGAAGGCCUUCGGGUUGUAAAGUACUUUCAGCGGGGAGGAAGGCAAUACGGUUAAUAACCGUGUUGAUUGACGUUACCCGCAGAAGAAGCACCGGCUAACUCCGUGCCAGCAGCCGCGGUAAUACGGAGGGUGCGAGCGUUAAUCGGAAUUACUGGGCGUAAAGCGCACGCAGGCGGUCUGUCAAGUCGGAUGUGAAAUCCCCGGGCUCAACCUGGGAACUGCAUUCGAAACUGGCAGGCUUGAGUCUUGUAGAGGGGGGUAGAAUUCCAGGUGUAGCGGUGAAAUGCGUAGAGAUCUGGAGGAAUACCGGUGGCGAAGGCGGCCCCCUGGACAAAGACUGACGCUCAGGUGCGAAAGCGUGGGGAGCAAACAGGAUUAGAAACCCGAGUAGUCCC
Molecule: ribosomal RNA, 475 nt
Filed under: uncultured organism
Description: partial 16S ribosomal RNA
Rfam family: Bacterial small subunit ribosomal RNA
Source: RNAcentral